RNAcentral lists this ribosomal RNA (597 nucleotides) under uncultured bacterium. RNAcentral describes it as "bacterial SSU rRNA". It matches the Rfam family "Bacterial small subunit ribosomal RNA", at positions 338 to 949 of the family's 1533-position model. The record is from RNAcentral.
CCUACGGGAGGCAGCAGUGGGGAAUCUUGCGCAAUGGGCGAAAGCCUGACGCAGCAACGCCGCGUGCGGGAAGAAGGCUUUCGGGCUGUAAACCGCUUUCAGCAGGAACGAAAAUGACGGUACCUGCAGAAGAAGGAGCGGCCAACUAUGUGCCAGCAGCCGCGGUGAUACAUAGGCUUCAAGCGUUGUCCGGAUUUAUUGGGCGUAAAGAGUUCGUAGGCGGUCGAGUAAGUCGGGUGUGAAAAUUCUGGGCUCAACCCAGAGACGCCACCCGAUACUGCUUGACUUGAGUUCGAUAGGGGAGUGGGGAAUUCCUAGUGUAGCGGUGAAAUGCGCAGAUAUUAGGAGGAACACCGGUGGCGAAGGCGCCACUCUGGAUCGAUACUGACGCUGAGGAACGAAAGCAUGGGUAGCAAACAGGAUUAGAUACCCUGGUAGUCCAUGCCGUAAACGGUGGGCACUAGGUGUGGGUUUCUAUUAACGAAAUCCGCGCCGUCGCUAACGCAUUAAGUGCCCCGCCUGGGGAGUACGGUCGCAAGACUAAAAACUCAAAAGAUAGUACGACGUGAGAGAGCGACGACGACACAGGAGGUAGAG